Molecule: long non-coding RNA, 1023 nt
Filed under: Junco hyemalis (dark-eyed junco)
Lineage: Eukaryota; Metazoa; Chordata; Aves; Passeriformes; Passerellidae
Description: lncRNA (ENSJHYG00000012694.1)
Source: RNAcentral
CAGGCAUUUUGGUUGCCCCGUCCUGGAAGUGUCCAGGGCCAUCCUGGAUGGGCUUGGAGCAGCCUGGGAAUGUGGAAGGUGUCCCUGCCCUGGCAGGGCGGUGGAACAAGAUGUUCCUCAAGGUCUCCUUCUGAGGCAAACCAUUCUAUGAUGCUAUGAUUGUAGGAACAUGCUUGUGGAACAGAACAUCCCAGUCCCAUCUGAGCUGAGAUAAAGGAGGAGGAAAGGGGCUGCCUGCCUGCACCACAGAACGGUGCCUGGCCCUACUCUGAGAAUUUAGUCUCAGAAUGUUUUUGCAUGCUUGUCACCCAGGUUUAUCUCAGCCACCAGCUCAGUAAAAUGCAGUGUGCUAGUCUGAUAGAGCACCAGGAGCAAUCAAACGAGCAUGAAAACAGCUGUGUCACAUAUGGCCCCUGAAAUACCACACUGGCUCCUAAUACCAGUGCAGUCUUGGAAAAGUUACUGCCAAAUGUUAAAAAUGCUGCCAUUUCCUCAAGAAUGGUUUAAUAACAGAGGUUUUUGGCUUUGUAAACUAAGCCUUCAUUAUGAUUUCAUUUCUGAUUUAAGAUAAACCAUCUCCCCUCAGUUCCUUAUUCAGAAAUCAAAAAUGCAGGAUGAGAAAAUGAAGGAGAAAUAUAACUCACAAUUUUUGUCCCUUUCCUGCAGCUUCACUGGGGACUUCUUAACCUCCCCAUGCUUUAUAUGAUCACAUAAAAUAACUCUCUGUGUAACAACUCAAAAUGUUACAGGUCUACUGAUGCUCUCGAUUUUUAUGAUUUGGACGUAAAACACAAAUGUAAUUCCUAAAAUGAGCAAAGAACCUAAAUGCCAUGUACAUUUAAAAAGUUACACCCCAAAUUCCAGCUGCAAGCAGCUUUCCAAGGGGCAAAAUUAAAAGCAAUGAAGUCUGCCAACCCUCAAAGGAGGCAAUUUUUAUCACUAUGCCAAAUGGAAUCAUUACUUCACUACUCCAGGCAUCUGGUUAACGGGAGUCUGGUUCUUGCAUCCUCUGGGUUAAGAUAG